GCACUCGUAGCUUAAUGGAUAGAGCAUCUGACUACGGAUCAGAAGGUUGCAGGUUCGAGUCCUGCCGAGUGCA
RNAcentral lists this transfer RNA (73 nucleotides) under Streptomyces galbus. RNAcentral describes it as "tRNA-Arg". It matches the Rfam family "tRNA". Rfam says of the family: Transfer RNA (tRNA) molecules are approximately 80 nucleotides in length. Their secondary structure includes four short double-helical elements and three loops (D, anti-codon, and T loops). RNAcentral also lists the same sequence under 10 other names. Lineage: Bacteria; Bacillati; Actinomycetota; Actinomycetes; Kitasatosporales; Streptomycetaceae. The record is from RNAcentral.